CUACUGUCUGGUCUGUGUGCGUCUUCGAGAUUUGAUCAUUAUGCACAAACUUUGGGCUUAUGUUGAAGGUACUGAUUUAUAACCUGCUGUGGGGAAGGAAACGAAGCUGUAUUCAAGAGAGAAAUUUGGAGAUUUCAUGUAUUUGUUUGCUGGAGUGUAUUUUACUCUUGACGGGAAUGUUUUUGAGAUGUUCAUAGUCACAAAUUAAGAAAUGGGCAAUUGAUAGUCAAUUAUGAUUCAGGAAACAUUUGGCCUGAUGUAAACAUUUUUCUCUCAUGAUCAUUUGGUUGUAUCAUUUUUUCUUUUUAUGUGCAUAAAGAUAGAUAACGUCGAGGAUUCAAUAUACGAAUUUUUGGAGGUGAA
Molecule: long non-coding RNA, 363 nt
Organism: Neltuma alba
Lineage: Eukaryota; Viridiplantae; Streptophyta; Magnoliopsida; Fabales; Fabaceae
Exons: 2
Source: RefSeq, a predicted model, not a curated record